CUCAAACUGUAAUCGAAACAAACGAGUGCUAGAGAACUUAAAGUUUGGCUUUCCAUACGAUUUCAGGGAAAAGACUAGUUUUCAAGGAGGAUAGAUGGUAUAAAGAGAGAAGGUAGUGUUUUACGUCUUGGACAAUAUAAUCUGACUACAUGAGGUAUGCAAAGAACGACCUAGAGCGAGAAUACCAACAUAACAUUGCUGAAGUGAAAAGUAAUCGACU
Papaver somniferum (opium poppy) is the source of this 220-nucleotide long non-coding RNA. RefSeq lists it as uncharacterized. The transcript is spliced from 4 exons. The record is from RefSeq and is a predicted model, not a curated record. NCBI's taxonomy places the organism in Eukaryota, Viridiplantae, Streptophyta, Magnoliopsida, Ranunculales, Papaveraceae.